Molecule: long non-coding RNA, 1870 nt
Filed under: Phasianus colchicus (ring-necked pheasant)
Lineage: Eukaryota; Metazoa; Chordata; Aves; Galliformes; Phasianidae
Description: lncRNA (ENSPCLG00000000069.1)
Source: RNAcentral
AUUUUGUUUUCAUUAAAAAUACAGAAGUGAAACAACACCUGCUUUUUUUCUGAAGUAAGUUUCUUUUAGGCAGCCCUUGAACAGGUUACAGUUCCUAACUGCAAAGCUUAACUAUAUCAAGUAAUUAUAGCAACAUAGAUUCAGCCAGGUGGGAAGGAUCUCAGGAGGACAUCUGCUGAAAGCAGAAGCAGCACUGAAUUCAGAGCAGGUUGCUGAGGGCUUUGUCCAAAUGGGUCUUGGAAACCUCCAGGGAUAGAGAUCCCACAUCCUCUCUGGGACACACGUUCCAGGGCUUAAUUAGCCUCACAGCAAUUUUAUUUUGUACUUAUAUUCAGGAUCUUUCUGUAGGAUCUUUCUGUUUCAAGUCGUGAGUGUCACCUCUCUUUUUUCUGCACUUCAGUGGGAGUUUGGAUCUUCUUGAUGACCUUUUCAUUAGGUAUGGACAGGCUGGAGUCCCCCGAAGUCUUGUCUUCAGGUUAAAAACCCCAGUCCCUCAGGCUGCUCUCACUGGUACGUUCUUAUACAGUUGUGUCUGUUCUCUCACACCUUCAGCAUCUUGAGCUGUUAAGCAUUUAAUUAAUUGAAUAUGCUAUUGUGUUUUUCCCAGAGUCAGAUUAUUUCUAGUAUUAUUUGUUACAAAUUUGAAUGUUUUUUCAAAGUGGUAACCAAACAAAUAGCUAUUAAAGAUUAGUCAUAGUCUGUCUGAAAUUACAUGAACCUAUAAUUAUAUUUUUAGUCAAUGGAAUCCAUUACGAUUGUGUGUUUAUCUCAAAAACGCUGAUGCAUACCUUUGUAUUUCAUGUGCUUUAAUCCUUAAAUUAUCAAAUCAUUUCUGUCUAGGGAAUUAUGUUACUUCGGGCUCCUUUCAUGUAUUAAUGUCGGGUACACAGAAAUGCAUGCUUCAUGGAGCAAGAUGAGAGUGUUGAACAUCCACCUUCUGGUACACGCAGCAGGGAUCUUCUCCUGCUUUAGUUGUGUGUUACACCAACCCUACGGUCAUCUUCAGAGGCAGCAGAUCACUUGCAAAGGUUUGCUGAAGGAUCCUCUCUAUUUUAAUGUCUGAGUUCUCCUCAGAACUGUGUGCAGUGUGAAAUGCCCCAGAGCUGCUGGCUGCAGGAAUCCCGAUGGGCCCCACUGGGGCUCCCUGCCACACUCUGCCCAGGAAGGGCCUCCUUUCCCAGGAGUAAUAGCAGCUGUGGGGAUUUUCUUCUGUCUUUGAAGGGCAAAAAUUUUGCCAUAGCAAAGCAUCAGUAGCCUUUACAGGAAAUGCCUAGCCUUUUAGCAUUUUGUUUCUGUUAAACAGACAAAAGAAUAUUGUUGAAAUCACUGAAUGUAAAAGGUCUUGAGAUUAAUUUGGUUGUGGAAGCUUGCAGAAUAUCCUUAUGCAGGGGCUUUUGCUCCCUACUUAAAUUGCCAGGGCAGGAGCUGUUUGCACUUUCAAGUGUAAAGAUUGCCCUGGGUGAUUUGAAGCUUCAGACAUAAAAUUUCUACAUAUUUAUUGCUAUAAUCUUCCAAAUGUGAGUUGAUGUAGCUCUGACUUUCUAAGCUUCAGCCUUCUACUGCAGAAAACUUUCCCAAUCAACAGAAGAUGGAAACUGCCAAUACUUCAGCAAGAUUUGUUACUGCCACGUGGAAGCCUGAAGGACAAAGUUGAUGCAAUGUGCAACCAUAAGUACGCAGAUGUUCAUGGGGAGACAAAAUAAUGUGGAUAUUUGGUGGCUAGGAGAGGAUUCUGAGCCUCAAGCAAUGUUUCAGUUGGAAAAGUUUGUCUGAUGGUUCAUUGACCCAGUAUCUGUACAACUUCAGUAGAUUUAUUAUUUGGAAUUCCUCAGUGGAGAUUUUAAUUAGACAUAUAUUCGUUUGCUAACUU